Molecule: long non-coding RNA, 850 nt
Organism: Helianthus annuus (common sunflower)
Lineage: Eukaryota; Viridiplantae; Streptophyta; Magnoliopsida; Asterales; Asteraceae
Exons: 6
Source: RefSeq, a predicted model, not a curated record
UCCCUUUAAAAUUUUCGUAUCCCGCUCCUAAUUCCCCCAAUCUCAAUCUCUCUCUCUCUCUCUCUCUCUCUCUCUCAAAACCUAAAACUGACUAUGCCAAUUCACGAUGUCAGCCCUAGAUCGACGAAGAUUCACUGAUGAUUCCUCAAUCGUUCCUCCACAUCACCGAAGAUUCACCAAUUCUUCUGCAUAAAACCUAGAUCGACGACUCCUUAAUCGUUCCUCUAACCAAUUUCUGUCACACUUUUGCUGUAUCAUGGCACGUAGGCAGAUGUCGUGGUUUAGUGGCAGGAGUCGGCAGAGGGCAAGUUCGAUUCUCCCGUCCCGUUCGUCAUCUUUCUAGGGUUCCAACAUGAGCAGAUCAGGUCAACCUCCAGAUCUUAAAAAGUAUAUGGACAAGCAACUACAGAGUUUUCAAUCGGAUUCAGCCGUCAUUAAGCUGUUUUAUCGCUGUUUGGAUUGGAUAUGAUGGGAUGUACUACUACAAAUAUCAGAAAGGGCCAUGGCCAUUAAUAUUUCACUUUGCAUUGGUUUUAUUAGAUCGAAAGGUUGAACGUGAUUAUCCAAGAUACAGUGAAAGAAAAAGAAAGGUUGAACGAUAUUAUUGCAGAAUUGGUGGUGGAAAAAGAGAGAUAAGGCGGAGAAAGAGGCUACGAAUGAAAGGAUGGCAAACAUUGAAGCGAUGCUAAAAGCUAGGUUUCAAAACGUAUAAUCAUCGACUUAGGUUUCAAAACGUAUAAACACUUUGUUUUGAAUACAGUUAUGAUAACUUUGGUAUUUGAUGUUUCAAGUGGGAUGUUUUAUAUAAUUGUGAAAAUUUGAUAAUAUGUAAAAUUUAAAAUUGACAUUA